This 664-nucleotide ribosomal RNA is filed under the name uncultured Actinomycetales bacterium. Its description in RNAcentral is "bacterial SSU rRNA". It matches the Rfam family "Bacterial small subunit ribosomal RNA", at positions 738 to 1397 of the family's 1533-position model. Lineage: Bacteria; Bacillati; Actinomycetota; Actinomycetes; Actinomycetales. The record is from RNAcentral.
UUCCGACGGUGAGGGGCGAAAGCGUGGGGAGCGAACAGGCUUAGAUACCCUGGUAGUCCACGCUGUAAACGGUGGGUACUAGGUGUGGGGUCCAUUCCACGGGUUCCGCGCCGUAGCUAACGCUUUAAGUACCCCGCCUGGGGAGUACGGCCGCAAGGCUAAAACUCAAAGGAAUUGACGGGGCCCCGCACAAGCGGCGGAGCAUGCGGAUUAAUUCGAUGCAACGCGUAGAACCUUACCUGGGUUUGACAUGGAUCGGGAGUGCUCAGAGAUGGGUGUGCCUCUUUUGGGGUCGGUUCACAGGUGGUGCAUGGCUGUCGUCAGCUCGUGUCGUGAGAUGUUGGGUUAAGUCCCGCAACGAGCGCAACCCUUGUUCACUGUUGCCAGCACGUUAUGGUGGGGACUCAGUGGAGACCGCCGGGGUCAACUCGGAGGAAGGUGGGGAUGACGUCAAGUCAUCAUGCCCCUUAUGUCCAGGGCUUCACGCAUGCUACAAUGGCUGGUACAGAGAGUGGCGAGCCUGUGAGGGUGAGCGAAUCUCGGAAAGCCGGUCUCAGUUCGGAUUGGGGUCUGCAACUCGACCUCAUGAAGUUGGAGUCGCUAGUAAUCGCAGAUCAGCAACGCUGCGGUGAAUACGUUCCCGGGGCUUGCACUCACCGCCCGU